Phyllostomus discolor (pale spear-nosed bat) is the source of this 409-nucleotide long non-coding RNA. RefSeq lists it as uncharacterized. The transcript is spliced from 3 exons. Lineage: Eukaryota; Metazoa; Chordata; Mammalia; Chiroptera; Phyllostomidae. The record is from RefSeq and is a predicted model, not a curated record.
GGAAAGGGUAUUAAAAUAGUUAAGAUAUUAAACGUUCCAAGUCUUAUUUGUUCAUAGAUUGGUGGAUGUCAGCUUAGUCACACUCAGCUACAUCAAGUAUCACAAUGUUUAUUGAUAGAUACAAGUAUAUAAAAUCAGGGCAUGAACAUGACUUGAUAAAUUAAGUAGACUUAAUUUCAAUACUAUAAUAAGAGGGACCAAUUCAAAUUCUCACCAUUUGUUUCACACCCACAAAAACCACUUCAAGGGCAUUAAACGAUCUCUCAAAACUGAUCAGUUUUGUGCAAGUAAACCAUGUUUCUUUUAAAAAGACGUGUGCACUUGCCCAGGCUCAAGGAUAUUAAAAUCUAGCACAUAAAGCCCAUUACUAGAGGUAGAAAUACAGGCAAUAUACUAUUACGGCAACAAC